Solanum dulcamara is the source of this 364-nucleotide long non-coding RNA. RefSeq lists it as uncharacterized. Lineage: Eukaryota; Viridiplantae; Streptophyta; Magnoliopsida; Solanales; Solanaceae. The record is from RefSeq and is a predicted model, not a curated record. The transcript has 2 exons.
ACAACAUAUCAGAGAUUAAUAGGUAAGUUGUUGUAUCUCAACAUGACUAAACCAGAUAUAUCUUUAAGCACUCAAACUUUGAGUCAGUUUUUACACCAACCUAAGAAGUCUCAUAUGAAUGCUGCAUUGAAAGUGGUUAGAUAUAUGAAGAGACAACCUGGACAAGGGUUGUUGCUAUCUAGUUGUUCAGAUGGAUUGGUGACUGCCUUCUUUGUAACAAACUUGUAACAACCUUCAAUUAGUUAGUUGAAGAUAGUUAGUUACUAGUUUAAGAAGAGAACUAUAUACAGCACCUCAUUUUCUUGUACAAGUUAAGCUUUUCAAUCAUCAAUGAGAGUCUUCUCAAAUUAAUGAUUUUCCUCCA